CUCCCCGGUGCCGUCGGGAGGACGCGGGUUUUUCUCUCGGUUCCCUCUUCGGAGCUCCAAGGAUCUCCGGCUUCUUGCGCUUCCAGAAAGCGGCCGAGAGCCGAGCGCCGCCGCUGGAAUGGGCGAGGGCGCGCCGGCUCUUAGACCUACCUCUGCAUUUCCUGGGCCUGGUUAGCGCGUCCCCGCGGGCAACAAACCCGCGCAAAGCGGAGCCAGGACCCCGCUCUUGGUUGCCAGCAGGAUCCAGGAUCGCGCCCCCACGAUUAAAGAAGUGCUAGGGAGAAGAGACCCCAAAUUUAGCCAACGACGAGGAGUCGAAGUCUCCUCUAAAGCACACACUUUAAAAGCGCGCAGGCGGAGCGGGCUCCACGCUGAAUCCGCGCGGCUUCCCCGUUACGUGUCGGUGCAUUUGCGCCGCGCAUUAUGCAGAGACCUUUCCCUACAGGCAGGGUGGGAUUCCCCCCCCCCCGGCGUUUCCAAGUCCCUUUAAUUUCAGUGGGAGAGUGAAGUUUGGGAGCAGGAGAGCGCUCUGCGCCGAAGCUGCGAUCCUGGCUGUUAGGGGAGUGAGAUCCCACAGUUUGCAAACUGCAGACCGAACCAACCAACUCCGCAUUGUAUUGCAUUGAGGGCUGGGGUCGCCACCGGGCGCUGCCUCGUGUGUUUAUCGGUUUGCCCCAAGCGGGCUGUGUGGACGCACCCCGUUCUUUCUUAGAUGCCCACGACGAGAGCGAAUUCAGCAUCUGGCAAAGAAUGACGCCGACGGAGAUCAGAGGCAACUUGAUGCAAUCUUACCUAAUCAGACCAACCUCAGCGCUGGGCAAUGGGCAGUUUUCAUCUGGAAUACAUUUUGAUGGCUUAACAUACUCACGCAUCUGUCUGACGCCAGGAGAGUUCCGCGUUCAACGAAAAGGAGAAAAAUGGCAGGAGACGUGCGCAGGAGCCCAAUUGCUCCGCUGAUGACUAUUCCUUAGCGUGUUUGCGGAGGACAAAGAGUUACUGAAUUCAAAAAGAGAAGCACACACAGAGUGCGUCCAUUCCACCUUUGCUAUAACUCAGAUGGCAGAACAAGCAACACUUGAGAAACAGCCGAGACCCACGUGCAUGGUGGAAGGAAGCCUUGAGACUGUGGGCCCCAACUCAAACAAUUGUGCUAUCAAGAAAUUUUGGCUAGGAUGGAGUGGUUAGAGAACGCAGUUAGACUGACUCAGGCUAGCCCAGAUAAAAUGCUGGUGUCUUUUCCCUUCACAUGCCCCGAUGCUACAAUUUUGUUUAGAUUUUCCACAGAAGCCACAAGAUUGUGUUAGGGCAUUGCAGGCUAGAGCAGCAAUCAGAAUAUGGGACAGUCUGGAGGUUCUGCAAGAGAAAUCCAUUCCGGAAGUCCGUUCAACUUCCAAAAAAUUCGAAAACCAAAGCAUGGCCUCUGAUUGGCUGCAGGAAGGUCCUGCAGCAAAUCAGAAGUCGCGGAAGCCGCAUUGGACGCUCAGCUUCCAAAAAUAGUUCACAAACUAGAACAGUCACUUCCGGGUUUGCAAUGUUCGGGAGCCAAAACGUUCGGGAACUAAGCUGUUCAACUUCCAAGUAUUUUCUAUAAAGUAUUUUCGUGGAGUCCUGCAGUUCUACGCUCAGAGCUGGAGGGAAAAUUUCCUCCGGCAAACCUGAAAUUCUGCUCCAAGGAAAGAACAGUCAUAAAAAAAUAGCACAAUUCUGCAUUGAUUUCAGAAUGAAAGAACUGCCGUGCCAAAUCAGAGCAGCUGUGUCAGAAAAAGUGUUAGAAGCAGAGCAUGAGGAAUACAGGCACCCCUCGCUGUUUGCUCCCAGUUUUUGGCAAUAAGUUAUGCUGAGUCUGAAUGUGAACAUUCCUGCUUCUAGCUAUUGUAGUUGAUGGAGUAUCUACCAACUCUGUUAAUGCAGGGGUUGCCAACCUGGUGCCCUCAGGUGCCAUAAAGGCUGCCUUUGGUGACCCCAGGAUGAACGAUAAUUCCCAGUUUCCCAGGUUUCAUUUCUAACAAAACAAAAUGCUGUUUCUAGCAUUCUUAGAACCUGAAAUGCGAAGCAAAAAUGUACAGAUACAAUUCUUCUCAUUUUGUUGUGAGAAAUUAGCCUACCCAGUGUUUUCAGUGUUUUACUUUCUCCCCCACUACCAAGGAAAAAAAUGCCCUCCUGGAAAAACCCUUCCCCCUUGCAAAAAAUCCUGUGGAUAUUGUUGUUUGUGAUAGAGGAAGGGAUGCACAUGUAGUCAGAG
Long non-coding RNA from Podarcis raffonei (Aeolian wall lizard), 2242 nucleotides. RefSeq lists it as uncharacterized. Lineage: Eukaryota; Metazoa; Chordata; Lepidosauria; Squamata; Lacertidae. The transcript is spliced from 3 exons. The record is from RefSeq and is a predicted model, not a curated record.